UGGUAAGUAUAACAAGGCAGAAGAAAUAAAUUGAGAAAAGAAAAUUAGAGUGCACAGACAGAGGGAUACAAGAUUUCAGCGAGGGCGGAGAGUUUGGAUGUUGGUGCUCAGAUGAAUUUUUAUUUUACAGAUUUCAGGUACCGAGGAUGAACUUGGAUUCAUAGUAGCGGGCUUAAGUGGAAGUAGAAGAGUUGGUGCUGAGGAUUAAAUUAUUUAUUUUAGAGAUGUUGUAUUAAUUAUUUGAGGAAAUUGAUUCUGUAUCAAUAAAAUGAUAUUUUAUUUAUUUGGAGAUCCUGGGAGUGUAAAUUGAAGUAUUUUGAUUUGAAUAAAUCGAGGAUUUUAUUUAGAAAAA
Molecule: long non-coding RNA, 352 nt
Organism: Cornus florida
Lineage: Eukaryota; Viridiplantae; Streptophyta; Magnoliopsida; Cornales; Cornaceae
Exons: 2
Source: RefSeq, a predicted model, not a curated record